CAGCGAGUGGUGGAGCUGGGCCUGGCGCUGCUGCAGCCACAAGGCUGCCGGCGGAGACAGCGACAGCUCCCGGAGCAGGGCCAGGGAGCUGGGGGCACAGCACAGCAAGGGCUUUGGAGGCGUGAGAAUCCGGAACCGGCAACGCGCUUUCUCCUAUUGGCCAACUCAACGAUUCCUAUUUGCAUAUGCAAUACCAGGCAAGGCUGUCCGACGAAGUCACGUGGCCAAGAACGACUGAAGGACCCCGCGGCGAAAGGGUGCGGCCGGAGCUCCAGUGGCGCAAUCGGUUAGCGCGCGGUACUUAUAUGACAGUGCGAGCGGAGCAAUGCCGAGGUUGUGAGUUCGAUCCUCACCUGGAGCACUUUAGUUUUCUCUUAUGAGUUUUUAUAAAUUGAUGCAGAUUAUAAAUUAACCCAAACACACAUCACUUAAGAGUUUCCUCUUUCGAACAUUUCGAUCUUGGGAAUUUUCCAGCUAGAAAGACUCCUGGGACUCUGGCGACGGUCGCUUAGGGAGCGAGUGUUGUGUGUUGCGGGGAGGUUCCGUUUUUAUCCUGGCCGCCAGAGGGUGGUAUCGCCCCUUAGAUGCCUGGGCCUUCCCUUGGGUCUACAAAUCUCAGCGUAAGACUUCUCUAAAUGUGUCAGGCUGUGGAUCCUCCGCAAACUGUGCAUGGCACUGCCUCUUUCUCUGUCUUGCAUUUUCCUUCCAGUUUCAUUGAGAUGUAAUUGCCAAAUAACAUUGAAUUGAUUCAAGGUGUAGAACAUAAUGAAUUGAUACAUGUCUAAAUGGUGAAAUGAUCAUCACAAGUUUAGUUACUAAUUUUUCUUUCUUGUGUGUCUUGGAGUUUUUUAACACCCUCUUCCCCUCUCCGUUUCUGAAUCAAUUUGUUUACUGAACAUUCAUUAUGUGACCGGCUCCUGUUUACGGUUUAGGUGUGGGCGAUACAGGAGGGACCCAGAUAAAUCCGUACCCCUCAUGAUGUGACAUUCUAGCGGGGGGAGACAGAUUGCUACAGACAUAAGAACUAAGUGCAUUUUUUAUGUUAGGUGGUGAUCAAUGUCAUGGAAAAAGUAGAGCAACGACCGAAGGUAGGGAGGAUGGGGGAGUGAGAGGUGGGGUGUGGGUUGCAAUAAGAGCAGUCAGGGACCAUCUCACUGAGGAGACAUUUGAUCGGACACCAGAAGGAGAGGAGUGAGCCACAGGGCCACCUGGGGGACUCUUCCAGGCAGAGAAACAGCCAGUGCAAAAGCCCUGUGGCUGAAAAAUGUCAGAGGUAUUGGUGGAGCAGCUA
This is a long non-coding RNA of Equus caballus (horse), 1291 nucleotides long. RefSeq lists it as uncharacterized. NCBI's taxonomy places the organism in Eukaryota, Metazoa, Chordata, Mammalia, Perissodactyla, Equidae. The record is from RefSeq and is a predicted model, not a curated record.